AUUGAACGCUGGCGACAUGCCUUACACAUGCAAGUCGAACGGCAGCACGGGUGCUUGCACCUGGUGGCGAGUGGCGAACGGGUGAGUAAUACAUCGGAACAUGUCUUGUAGUGGGGGAUAGCCCGGCGAAAGCCGGAUUAAUACCGCAUACGAUCUACGGAUGAAAGCGGGGGACCUUCGGGCCUCGCGCUAUAGGGUUGGCCGAUGGCUGAUUAGCUAGUUGGUGGGGUAAAGGCCUACCAAGGCGACGAUCAGUAGCUGGUCUGAGAGGACGACCAGUCACACUGGGACUGAGACACGGCCCAGACUCCUACGGGAGGCAGCAGUGGGGAAUUUUGGACAAUGGGCGAAAGCCUGAUCCAGCAAUGCCGCGUGUGUGAAGAAGGCCUUCGGGUUGUAAAGCACUUUUGUCCGGAAAGAAAUCCUUGGCCCUAAUACGGUCGGGGGAUGACGGUACCGGAAGAAUAAGCACCGGCUAACUACGUG
This 486-nucleotide ribosomal RNA is filed under the name uncultured bacterium. RNAcentral describes it as "partial 16S ribosomal RNA". It matches the Rfam family "Bacterial small subunit ribosomal RNA", at positions 30 to 507 of the family's 1533-position model. The record is from RNAcentral.